UACAGAGGGUGCAAGCGUUGCUCGGAUUUACUGGGCGUAAAGCGUACGCAGACGGCUUGGUAGGUCGGAUGUGAAAGCCCCGGGCUCAACCCGGGAAUUGCAUCCGAAACCACCUCGCUCGAGUGUGGGAGAGGGAAGCGGAAUUCCUGGUGUAGAGGUGAAAUUCGUAGAUAUCAGGAGGAACACCGGCGGCGAAGGCGGCUUCCUGGCCCAUUACUGACGUUCCGGUACGAAAGCGUGGGUAGCAAACAGG
This 253-nucleotide ribosomal RNA is filed under the name uncultured bacterium. Its description in RNAcentral is "partial 16S ribosomal RNA". It matches the Rfam family "Bacterial small subunit ribosomal RNA", at positions 524 to 776 of the family's 1533-position model. The record is from RNAcentral.